CUUGUAUUCAGAAAGUUAAUUCCCCUAUUUCAUCCCACAAGUCGAAAACCACUAGACAGAAGAAGCAAACUCAUCUAGCUCACAUGUCCUCUUCCUCUCUUGCAUGCGUUACACCAGCAUCAAAAGUUCACAAGUCCCCUCCUCUCUAUCCUUCUCCUCAAACCGCUGACUCAAAGAAAGGAACAACAAGAAACAAGCCAAAUUCCUUGAUGGCCAUUGGGUGUGGAUUAGUAACCAGUUCUGUUUUCCCCUUUCCUCCUUCCAGAACCGAUAAUUUUAGAGAGACACAACAAAACAAGAGCCGUAUCCUUUCCUUCUUCCUGCCACUAUUUGCUGACUUGAAGUCAGUCUCACCAGCCCCUGUGCGUUAAUGGUGGAACCACAAGGUUGCAUUCCUAUCAUUUAAUUUCUGGACCAAACUCAGCCUUGUUCCCUCUCAAGUCCGCGAGCUACUUGGAGGAGGAACACCAAGAGUAAUUCUGCAUCACCUUCCAUCCACCCUCUCUCAUACCGUGGGCACUUUGGGAGAAUGACAAAGCUCCUUGCACACUCAUUCCCUCCUUCUCCUGUUCGGCCUAGGAGCAUAUGAGAAGAGGUGAGAUUAAAUUUCGUGACAUUCUUGAUUCUCCUCUUGGAUUGAUUUCUGAUUUAGUUUUCCAUUUCUUGAGCGUGAAUUUGCCUUGAGCGAGUCUCUCCACCCCUUGCAUGCGGCUGGUUUUGGUUGGAGAGUGAGGUUGAGGUCCUCCACCCGUAUAACUAACAAUUGGAGGCUUGAAAGAAGGUUCGUAAACCUCAUGAAUGUGGGAUGGACUUGGGACUGUUUUGAUUAGAAAGCUAAAGUAUCAGGAGUACGAAAUGGCAUAUGAUGAUGUACUUGUAUUGGAGAUGUCUUGUUUAUUUGCUACUUCCGUUUUGGGAAUUUUGAUGUUGACAUGUUGUUCCUGCUGAUUUGGCUGAUCGCUCUAGUAUGAUGUAAUAAUUGUUUUGAGAUGUUGUAAGAAACUGUUAGAAUAUGUUUUAAUUUGGGGUCUGUUUGUAACUUGUGAAAAUCUGGUGUUCUUUAGCAAAAUUAUUCAUGCAUGUUCCAAUCCUGAAUUUUUAAACUAGUUUUGCGAGAACUUUGCAAGUUGUCAUUCUGGGGCUACAGACCUCCAAUUGAGGUAUACUUUACAUGGAUGUAAAGCUCCAGUUGUGUACUUUCAUAUUAUGUAAACCUUACAAUGAAAUUUUGA
This is a long non-coding RNA of Gastrolobium bilobum, 1232 nucleotides long. RefSeq lists it as uncharacterized. NCBI's taxonomy places the organism in Eukaryota, Viridiplantae, Streptophyta, Magnoliopsida, Fabales, Fabaceae. The transcript has 3 exons. The record is from RefSeq and is a predicted model, not a curated record.